This 71-nucleotide transfer RNA is filed under the name Loxodonta africana (African savanna elephant). It matches the Rfam family "tRNA". Rfam says of the family: Transfer RNA (tRNA) molecules are approximately 80 nucleotides in length. Their secondary structure includes four short double-helical elements and three loops (D, anti-codon, and T loops). Lineage: Eukaryota; Metazoa; Chordata; Mammalia; Proboscidea; Elephantidae. The record is from Rfam by way of RNAcentral.
CCAAUGGUGGUUCAGUGGUAGAAUUCUCAACUUCCAUGCCAGAGACCUGGGUUCAGUUCCCAGCCAGUGCA